This 279-nucleotide ribosomal RNA is filed under the name uncultured bacterium. Its description in RNAcentral is "partial 16S ribosomal RNA". It matches the Rfam family "Bacterial small subunit ribosomal RNA", at positions 506 to 784 of the family's 1533-position model. The record is from RNAcentral.
UGCCAGCCGCCGCGGUAAUACGGAGGGUGCAAGCGUUAAUCGGAAUUACUGGGCGUAAAGCGCGCGUAGGCGGUUUUGUAAGUUAGGGGUGAAAUCCCGGGGCUCAACCUCGGAACUGCCUUUGAUACUGCAGAUCUAGAGUCCGAGAGAGGUGAGUGGAAUUCCUAGUGUAGAGGUGAAAUUCAUAGAUAUUGGGAAGAACACCAGUGGCGAAGGCGGCUAACUGGCUCGGUACUGACGCUGAGAUGCGAAAGCGUGGGGAGCAAACAGGAUUAGAUA